CAUCACACAAAAGCGGAAGCACAAUCGAUUUUACCAAACCAAACCCACAAACAAAAGCAAAAGCAAGAUGAAAUGAACACAUCAUGGAACAAAAAGCCUAUAACACAUUGAUUUCGAAAUCACCGUAACCUUUACAAAAUCAAAUGCUAUUAAUCAUAAUUUCAUAGAUACAAUCGAACCAAAAAAUCAACAUUAAAUGUUAUUUACGCAUGACCUUGAAAAUUGGAUCAUCAAUGAGAGAGCCUAACUUGCAAAUUGAAAGAUAGAUAGAGAGAUUGAAUCUGCGAUUGCUAUUGAAGCUGAAAGUGAAGAUCAAAAGCUGAAACUGAGACUGUAAGCAAGAUGAUGAGAUGCUGCUGAAGCUGUGAAUGGUCUCUAACACUCAAAAGUUGCACAUGCGCUCUUUAUUGCCGGUGAAAGCCAUCGAAAGUUCAGAGAAUCCAUCGAUUUUAAGUGAGAUUUGAUCAACAUUUGAAGAAAGUGAUUAGGGACUUUUUAGGAAUCAUUUUAGAUUUAUUUAGGAAUUAAAUUAGAAAAUCAAAAUUCAAUAAGAGUAAAAGAGGAAAACAAAUCUUUUUAAUGAUGUGGAAUUCGAAUUUCCCUACUCUUCAACAAAGAAAUCGAAUUCCUUAAAUAACAGAAAGUGGGUACAGAAUGAAACUUAAUUCCCUAUUCACUUUUACUAACUAAACAAAGGAAAUUACAGAGGAAAGGGAAAAUCUCUCUUUUCCUCCCUUAAAUUCAUGGAACCGAACAUGCUUUAAGGCUUAUCUCUCUCUUUCAUGUCUUCUGCCUCUUCCUCAUACUACCUUCAAAUCUUUCCUCCAAACAUUUUUGUGGCGUCGCAUCCUUCUUCCUUGUUUGGCCUGCCAACUUCAAGCUUCUGCUUUUCGCUUUUGACCAAUUUGUGAAUAUUUGUAGUGGCAACCGGUUUAUGGUUGUUUUUCACUCAAAUAUGUAUUCAGAAACAAAUGGGAGGAAAAGGCCAUAACCGAGGUCUUCUUUUCAACCAAGUAAUUAUAACGUCACUUGCCACUUCAGUGACACAACAAGCGGUGUUUGUUUUGAGCAAGCUCACUCUUUCAGCCAAGUAAUUUUAUCUUUAGGGUGCGUUUGAGAUUGAGGUUGGACAGCUGUAAUUUUUAAACUACAGUAUUAAAGUGUUUGAUAAACAUUAGCUGUUGUAGCUUGUAAACUAUGUUGUUAUGAUUUUUCACUUGUAUAAUGAAAAAUUUAUUACAUCUUUAAUAAUUCAAAAUUAUUAUUUAAAAUUCAUAUUUACUACAUAUUAUUAACUUUUGUUUGAUAGUUACAGUUUUUUUUUCCACAAAGUUACAGCACCUCAAUCCUAAAUAGGGUGUUAAUCCUUAUCUUAAAUUAACUUGCUUUAAUUAUUCUUUUCAUUUCUGUUUUCAUCUAUCCUAUAGUUAAAAAUGUCUAAUCUCUAAUCUCUAUAACCAUUUGAGGAAAUUAUACAAUUAGAGAGUUCGGCAAGAAGUCCAAAAGAGGGGAAAAAAAAGAAAUGGCCUUCGAGUCCAAUUUUAGACCCAAAAACAAUUUAAAAAGUAAAAAAAAAUGAUAAUUCUUUAAAUAUCAUAGCUUAAACUUUGUUGACCACCUCGAUUACAAUUACUUUUUAUUUUAAAAAAAAAUUCUACAUGAAGAUCAGUCACCAAUUAACCAUGAAAACACUAUCAAUUAUGUUCAUUAACAAAAUAAUUUAAAAUUACUUAGAUGAAAUAUUUCGUACUCUAUAAGAUAAAUCGUGUCUAAACUUAUUAGGUUUAUAAUCUAAAACCUUACUCUUAUUAAAUAUGAAAAGGUAGAAGAAUAAGUACAUAACCUUUUAGAAAAUCACGAGCUUCUCAGUUCAGUGUGAUUCCUUAUUAUCAUAGACUAAAAUAUGUUACUUAUUCAAAUUAAAAAAAAGUCUAUUAGCCAUUCAAAAAAAAAAAAAAGUCUAUUAAAAUUUAAUGAGAUGCAUUCAGCGGAUUUGAACUCUUUUUUAUUUAUUGAAUUGUUAUUUUAAGUUAUUAAAAUAAUUCAUAAAAAGAAUGGUUCUCAACUUCCAAUAACUCUAUAUAUAACCCUCCCCUUAACCCCAUAAUAAAUCACCUCCUUCGAAAUCCAUUUUUCCCUCCUCCUCAAGCUUCUUCGUUAUAUUGAGUAAAAAAUAAAAAUAUUUUAUUCUAAUUAAGGCUUUUGAAUGAAAUGUGGGUUAAGGCCCAAAAGAGACAAAAAAGGCCAGGCUCGGCCCAUUAAUAUUUGCCCCAAAUUUCAUCCAUUAGGGCUCAAAUUUCCAGCUUUAUCACCUGCACCACCACUACCAAGAGACAGAGAAAUUGAGAGCAAACGAGAGAGAGGGAGGAGAGAUUGAAGGACUCAUUUGAUCUGCUCCGUCACCAACUCGAUCUAUUAUUUAUCAAGGUUCAAUUUCAUUUUGUUUUUCUACUUAAUUUAUGAUAAACGGUUGCCCACUUUUUCUUUUCAAUGUUUAAAAAGGGUCUCUUUUAGCUUAAUUUUUGCAUUAUUUGUUAGGUUUUGUUGUUCCCCUCAUCUGAGUUUCUGUUAAUUAUUUCUAUUUAUUUUGUAAAAGCUUUUGCUUCUAGCUUCAGUUUCUGAGUGUGCUCCUCUUUUUUUUUUUGGUGGGCGGCGUUCUGGUUGUUUCUAGUCCGGAAAUUAGUUUUUAUUUUCGAGAAAAAAAUUUGUAUUUUUAAAUGUUAUCAUGCUUUGUUUGCAUUGAAUUUGGUUAAUUGGCAGCUAGUAGUUGCCAAAGCUCGGACAAAAUAGAGCCCAUGAAUUUGUUUGAUUUUGAUGACUUUUCUUUAACAUUUAUUAACUGAUAUGUUUAGCUCAUUGUUAUUUAAUUUAGGUCUGUAAUAGAAAAAUUGUCCUUAUUGUAAUGGAUUACUUCUCAUCGAAGCAAAGCCCCCUUUUUCCUGAUUGGGUGGUAGUGUUUGGUUUUUAAUUUUCAGCCAUGUUGUAGUUUUUCUCUGGAAAGUCAGUAGAGUGCCAUCCUCAGGAAGAAUUGACGUACAUUUGGCUUCCUUAGCAUUGUUUUUGUUGAUUAUGGUGACUUAUUUGUUGAAUUUGACAUCAUCAUGGUUAGUGCUGGAUAUCUCAAAUAUUUUCAUUCAACAUUGAAUGUUGAGAAUAUUUUCUUGUAAUAAUAAUAGUGUUAAACUGCUUCAAAUGUGUAUUAACUGUAAUUUCGGUACUCUUAUAUUUGUCAGAAACUGGUGUCAUAUACAUGCCAACAUAGUAAGUGGUGGAAUAAUGGCUGUUGAAGCUUCUUCUAAACCAAGCAGGGUCUACGAUUUUGAUGAUGACGAAGAUGGUCCAGCAGUUUUUAAGCGGAAUACUGCUGCUUCUAGGCAAAACCUAGCAAACCCAGAAGUCAAAAGGCCAUCGUCAUCCACAGCCAAUGGUCAAAACUCUAAUGCCCCAAAGGAUAAGACAACAGUUUCAUCUUCCAAGGUGUUGCCAGUGAAAUCUCCUCCACCAAGCCAGAAAGCGACUACCUCAUCUGCCAAGGCAUCACCGUCGAAGUCACCUAUGAGGUCACCUGUAAAGUCACCUGUGAGGUCACCUGUGAAGUCACCAGUGGCUUUUCAACUCCGGUUAACAUCCAUAAAUAUAGUGUCUGUGUUUGUGUGUACAUUUUCAUUUUUUUUUCCUUUCAUUUAUAAAUAGAAUAAUAUCAACUUCGACAAGGCAUGAACGACAUAUUUUUGUGAAAAUGAAAAAAAAAAAAAAAGAGUGAGAACCCCUUUCUUGAUAUUAAAGCCAGUAUUAGAUUUAAAAGAUGACCACAAGGGACAUCAACGGCGAGAGGAAUAGUCAGCGAUCGAUAUCUGCAAAUCAAAGAAACUGAAGAUUAAUUAGAGAGCAGCAAGGAUGGAUGGUGAAAUCAAAAACUUGAUCAAGGUAUGGAUUGUAGCAAUUUCAUGUUUGAGCUAUUGAUACUUGAUAGCAUCAAAAUUACUGGAAGGACUUGUAGGUCAUGUUCGGUUGCAAGAAAGGAGGAGAGAGGAGAGGAAGGGAAAAGUGAGGAGGAGAAAGAAAAUGAGUAGAAAAUGAUGAAGAGAUUAAUUUCCGUUGUUCAGUUUGGCAUAUAAUUAAUAAAGGAAAGAAUUUAAUAAUUUUUAUUUAGACAAAUAUACUCUUCUAUUAAAUUUUUAAUAGUCAUUAUUAAAUAAACUAAAAAUAUGUUUAACUAUUUAAAAACCAGCCUCAAGAUUAACACUCAUUCUCAAUGUCCUGGCAACAUUUAUAUUGCCUUUAUUAAAAGUAUUUUUACACAUCAUUAUCAAAAGUGUUUUUACUAAUAAUUAUCCAAGUGCUUCUAUACAAACCACUUUUUUUUUCUUUUUCUUUCUUUUUCCAAUAAGAAACAUUAAUAUUAUUUCACAUAGAAAAGUCUAACAAAAACAAAAUAAAAAACUUAGUUAAAUUUCAAGUGUUUAAAUGAGUUAAAUUUCAUAAGUUAGACAUUAAUAAACUUAGCAUGAGUUAAAUUUUACCUCAAAGGAAAAGUCUAACCCCAUGUUUCUUUGUCCUCCUCACAAAGACUAUAAAAACAAAAAUAUAACAAAAAAUUAAAAAAACAUAACAAAAAGCUUAGUCAAAUUUCAAGUGUUCAAAUGAGUUAAAUUUCAUAAGCUGAGAAUAAAUUGGAAAAUAAUCAAGAGAAUCAUAUCAUCAUCUAUCAUAAAUGCAAUCAUGUCUAUUUAGCCUCUUAAUUUUAGGUAUACAAAACUCAAUGCAUAUACAUAGAAACUAAACCAACAUCAGAUAAAAUGAACUCAAAUUAAAUUACAGGUGGUAAAAAAACAAAAUGAGUAUCACAUCCAUUAUCCAGAAAAUGAAGUGAUAAUCCUAGUGUAUUUUAAAGAAUUUUCACAUCAUCUAUCUACUUGUUGUUUAUUACCACUAGAAAAUUAACUAUGAACCUUCUAAUAAGAAAAUGACUUCAAAGAUCAAAACACCAAAUUUUUAUACACAAAAAAAAAAAAAAAAUUAAUCAUGCAUCUAAUAAUACUUAUGGAUGCCACUACUAUAAUAAAUAAUCUAUUAUCUUACUAUUUAAAUAUCAAACAUAUUAGAAAGAGGGGAAAUAAAACAAAACAAACAUAAACAGUUUGCCAAAUACACUGAGCAAGCAGAUAUAUUAUUGUGUUUAUAUUAUUAAUCUUUGGUGAAGUUUGUGAGAUAUUCAAGUAUUCAAUAUGUUCAGAACAUGAUUACAAAACUCAUAAUUCACGAACCUCAUAGUUUACGAAAGCAGAUAAAAUUAACAAAUAAAGCAAAUAAUAAAAUUAGAAGAUCAAUAAGGAAGAAUCAAACUCUUUUUAACUGCACCCGGUUUUUCAUUUCAUCAAACACCUUUAGAAGCUAGUUGGUUCCUUAACCCAAAAACAUAAAUAAAUAAAUAAAUAAACAAGCAGAAAGAAUUAGAAAAGCAUCAUCAAUAGCAAGUAUGUGUGGAGAAGAAAAUUUAUUAGAACAUUAAAUUUAUGUUAUUUUGAAACUUCAAACAAUUUAAUGAAUCUUCUUCAUUAACUUCAGCAUAUACAAAAUUAAAAAACACCCCACAAAAUGUUUAGGUAGCAAUUAAUUAAAUAAAUAACAACAACAACAAAGUAACAGCUCAUACAGCAGGAAAUGUACCUAAUGAAAAUCAAUAUUGACAACUUGGAAAGCUCUAUACGAAGCUUUUUUAACACAAAAUAAAAUAAUUUUGAGCAAAACAGAGGGAAAGAGAAAGUUGACAGUUUUUUUUUUUUUUGUUUUGAUCACGAGGUAUCUUGAAGAGGGCUCCAACUGUGGGAGGCAUCUUUAAGCCCGUACCACAACCCAGACUAGAAGUCCCCGCUCGAACCGAGAGGCACAGGUUCUCCCAACAAAGGCGAUUUCCCUGCGACUCGAACCGGGGAGCAAACUCAAUUAAGUCACUUAAGGGAACUCCAUUGUCAGUAGAGCCAACACUUUGUUAGUAGAGAAAGUUGACAAUUAUCAUGACAUAAACACAUCAUGGAACAAACAUUUUACAGCAGAUCAAUUUCGAAAUCAUCGUAACCCUUACGAAAAAUUAAUUUCAAAGUUAUACAUGCAUGCAUAUGUCUGACUAAUUAAUUUCAAAGUUAUACAUGCAUGCAUGUCUGACUAACAGGACAUGAAUAUUUUUCAACACAUAGCUUGUUUUACCUAACAAGAUUUUCUGACCAUUAAAAAAAUCUAUAACACGGCUCAUGAUUCCAUUAACAAAUGAUUCUAUAGCAGUGAAGACCAUCACACAAAAGCGGAAGCACAAUCGAUUUUACCAAACCAAACCCACAAACAAAAGCAAAAGCAAGAUGAAAUGAACACAUCAUGGAACAAAAAGCCUAUAACACAUUGAUUUCGAAAUCACCGUAACCUUUACAAAAUCAAAUGCUAUUAAUCAUAAUUUCAUAGAUACAAUCGAACCAAAAAAUCAACAUUAAAUGUUAUUUACGCAUGACCUUGAAAAUUGGAUCAUCAAUGAGAGAGCCUAACUUGCAAAUUGAAAGAUAGAUAGAGAGAUUGAAUCUGCGAUUGCUAUUGAAGCUGAAAGUGAAGAUCAAAAGCUGAAACUGAGACUGUAAGCAAGAUGAUGAGAUGCUGCUGAAGCUGUGAAUGGUCUCUAACACUCAAAAGUUGCACAUGCGCUCUUUAUUGCCGGUGAAAGCCAUCGAAAGUUCAGAGAAUCCAUCGAUUUUAAGUGAGAUUUGAUCAACAUUUGAAGAAAGUGAUUAGGGACUUUUUAGGAAUCAUUUUAGAUUUAUUUAGGAAUUAAAUUAGAAAAUCAAAAUUCAAUAAGAGUAAAAGAGGAAAACAAAUCUUUUUAAUGAUGUGGAAUUCGAAUUUCCCUACUCUUCAACAAAGAAAUCGAAUUCCUUAAAUAACAGAAAGUGGGUACAGAAUGAAACUUAAUUCCCUAUUCACUUUUACUAACUAAACAAAGGAAAUUACAGAGGAAAGGGAAAAUCUCUCUUUUCCUCCCUUAAAUUCAUGGAACCGAACAUGCUUUAAGGCUUAUCUCUCUCUUUCAUGUCUUCUGCCUCUUCCUCAUACUACCUUCAAAUCUUUCCUCCAAACAUUUUUGUGGCGUCGCAUCCUUCUUCCUUGUUUGGCCUGCCAACUUCAAGCUUCUGCUUUUCGCUUUUGACCAAUUUGUGAAUAUUUGUAGUGGCAACCGGUUUAUGGUUGUUUUUCACUCAAAUAUGUAUUCAGAAACAAAUGGGAGGAAAAGGCCAUAACCGAGGUCUUCUUUUCAACCAAGUAAUUAUAACGUCACUUGCCACUUCAGUGAC
Molecule: long non-coding RNA, 7334 nt
Filed under: Citrus sinensis (sweet orange)
Lineage: Eukaryota; Viridiplantae; Streptophyta; Magnoliopsida; Sapindales; Rutaceae
Description: long non-coding RNA (CSIN_LNC001645)
Source: RNAcentral